This 74-nucleotide transfer RNA is filed under the name Clostridia bacterium. RNAcentral describes it as "tRNA-Met". It matches the Rfam family "tRNA". Rfam says of the family: Transfer RNA (tRNA) molecules are approximately 80 nucleotides in length. The record is from RNAcentral. Lineage: Bacteria; Bacillati; Bacillota; Clostridia.
GGCUCCGUAGCUCAGUUGGCUAGAGCAUUCGGUUCAUACCCGAAGUGUCAAUGGUUCGAAUCCGUUCGGAGCCA